UGGAGAUAUUUUAGAUUGUCACCACUGGAGGAGUGCCAUUAGCAUCUAGUGGGUGGAGGCCAGGAAUACUGCUAAACAACCUAGAAUGCACAGGACAGCCUCCCACCACAAAGAAGUGUUCAGUCCAAAAUGUGAGUGGUGCCGCUGUUGAGAAACCCUGGGUCCUAUCUGAUUCUCAGUCUCUUUGUCUUUAAAAUGGGGAUAUCGACAUCAUCUCAUUGGGUUUUAUAAAGAGUAGAUCAAGUAACAGUUGACACUGGAUCGUCUGUUCUUCCACUAUCUCUUCCCUCUUUGAGGAACUGCCCUCAUCACUACAGCAUUAGAUUUCCAUGGGCUGACUGCCAACAACCCAGAGUUCCGUUUGGUUUCAUAAUGUUUGUCCCUAGCAGGCAUUUUGCAUAGUGUGACUCAGCCCCUUUGCCACAGUUGACUGGGUCAGGGGUGGACACUGGAUCCAAGCUAUAGCAGUAAGAAUUCUCUCUCCAGGGAGCUUGUAAUUUGUACUGAGAGUCGGGUCUGGCUGGUGUCUUGAAUGGAGAAUAUCAAAACCCUAAGUUGUGGUUGGUCAUUUCCUCACAGGUGGGUGGGAUGCAGUUUAUAACAAGAGAGGAGAAUGCAACAAUUAUGGAAAAAAGGCAGCCCCCUGGCCGCACCCUGCCCUUAGCUUCUGUAGGUCAUUUCUGCACCUUUGUGAGACUUUCUGCUUACCCUGUCUUCAGUUACGUGUUUCUUGUGCCCAAAGAACAAAAAAUAACCACUGAUAACAUAUAUAGCAGCACUUAGCAUGGUGCACAGGAAGAGUAACUCCUGAAUAAGUGGCAGUUAUUAUCAUCCCAUAUCAGAAAAAGUUGAGGCAUAGAGAUGAAAAAAUUUGUCUCGUGUCACACAGUUCUUGCACGGUAAAGCAGAUCUGGGAUCUGGGUCUCCCCACAUCUAGACUGAGGUUCUGUUUUGUCUAUCCUUCAAAUCAUGAAAUAAAACUUUCAGAAUAGUGCAUGGGUACGUCAGUCCCUAUGUACAGUUAAAAAUAACUCCAAGGGAACCUUGAUGUAUCUCACCCAGGACGGGAACCACACAACGGGCUGCUGCUCAGAAGACCUUCCUGAGACUCUCCCCGCUGCGCCUCCCUGCCAGAGUUUUAGAACUGGCCUCCUGGAGAGAAGCAUAUUUUUAGAGAGCAAGAGCGGAAGUGGAGGCCACGCGAGGCCGAAGGCGAUUGGGGGUCCAGUCUGGUGUGGCCGGGAGAACAGCCUUUGAAGCUACACCAGUUACUGGGCCUUUCAGGGAGGAGGCACACCACUCACCACAAUGAGAUUUCUCUAUUUGGUCCUGGUACUGGGCGGUGAGUUCCAAGAGCAUCAGAGAGACUUGUGGAUGACUCACACCAUAUGUCCCCACGUCCUUCCUACACUGACUCCAGUCCCAUUCAGUCCUCUGGAAAUGCCCCUUACUCACUCACUCCCCAGCCUAGUAAAGAUAUGGACCAUGAUGCACCCAGCGAAGGAGUGGGGCAUUUCUAAGGGCAAUGUGGCAAACCCAUCACAGAAAUGCAAAGAUGUAAGAAAGGUUCAGAAAUGUGUCCAGUAAGGUAGGGGUUGGGAGUGGAUUUGGAACUGAGGUUGGACAAGAAGAGUAGGCUAACGGGCUGUUACCAGUCUCCUGGAGGACAGGGGACCUGGACGUGACUCAUGCCCCAUGUCCCUGCCUCUUUCCUACACCAAGGCUCCACUCGGUACUGCAGAAACACUCCUCACUCCCUUCACCCACAGUGCCUUGGAAAGGUGUGGACAGAGAGACACCUGAGGAAGGGAGAGGAUGAGAAGCAAAGGGGCCAAAUCUAUAAGGUAAUACAUUCACAUAGGAAAUUUUCCCAUUCUUUUCCUCAUCUGCAGAGACACCCACUCCUCAUGUUAGAGGAACAACGGAGGACAGAGCUGUGAAGUCCACCCUGUUUGCAGUAGCCAGCCUCCAAGGUGUCUCCCACCUGCCUCCCCGGCUGUCUUCCCCUCUUCCCCCUUGUCGAUCCCCUCCAGCAGGAAUCAGGGCUGGCCUGUGUGAACAAUAGAAUUUCGUAAAAGCGACAGUGUCGGACUUCUGAGGCUAAGUCAUCAAAGAUAAUGCAGCGUCCACCUUGGCCUCUUGGUUAGUUGGUUUUAGAGGAAAAUCGCUACUUUGAGGACAGUCGGGCAUUCCUGUGGGGGAGCCCAUGUGGAGAGGGACUGAGGCCCCAGCCAAUCACCAGUACUACCUUGCCAGCUGGGAGCGAGCCAUCCUAGAAAUGGCUCCCCCAGCUCCGGCCAAGCCUUCAGACGACUUCCACACUGACCAGCAUCUGCCUGCAACCUCGUGAAAGACCUGGACCCAGAUCCUCCUAUUCAAGUUACUCCCAAAUUCUGGACCCACAGCAGCUGUGAGAGAUAAUAAAUAAUUACUGUUAUUUGAAGCCCUGAAACUUUGGGGUAGUUUUCUAUGCAGGAAUAAAUAAUCAUCGUCUCAUUAUUCAAUUGAAAACUAUAAAGGUGCAUAGGACCCAGCAAUUCCAUUUCUAGAUAUAUACCCAAGAGAAUUGAAAACAUAUAUCCAACGAAAACUUGUACACUGUGUUCACUGCAGCAUGAUUCACAAUAGCCAAACAGUGGAAAGAACCCAAUGGUCAUCAUCUGAUGCACAGAUAAAUUAAUGUAUAUCCACACGGUGGAGUAUCAUUCAACCGUAAAAAGGAGUGAAGUACAGAUCAAUGCUACAGCGUGGAUGAACCUUGAAAACGUCAGGCUAAGUGAAGGAAGCUCCUCACAAAAGACCACAUAAUGAUUCAUGUAUAUGAAAUGUCCACAAUAGGCAAAUCUAUAGAGAUGGAGAGUGAAUUAGUGGUUGCCAGGCUGGGGGUACGGGAGAAUGAGAGGUAACUGUUACUGGGCAUAAGGUUUCUUUUUGGGGUGAUGAAAAUGUUCUAAAAUUAAUUGUGGGGGCGCCUGGGUGGCACAGUGGUUAAGUGUCUGCCUUCAGCUCAGGGCGUGAUCCCGGCGUUAUGGGA
Molecule: long non-coding RNA, 3034 nt
Organism: Ailuropoda melanoleuca (giant panda)
Lineage: Eukaryota; Metazoa; Chordata; Mammalia; Carnivora; Ursidae
Exons: 5
Source: RefSeq, a predicted model, not a curated record